Molecule: long non-coding RNA, 4749 nt
Filed under: Canis lupus familiaris (dog)
Lineage: Eukaryota; Metazoa; Chordata; Mammalia; Carnivora; Canidae
Description: lncRNA (ENSCAFG00030018489.1)
Source: RNAcentral
GAGCUAUAUAAGUGAGAAACUCCGGAUUUCUCCACAAGAAGAAGACUACACCUAUAAUUUAAAGGAGUGUGUCUGAGUUUCCUGCAACAUCAGGAGAGGGAGAGACAGACAUCAUGAUUCCUACCAAGAUGCUACUGCUCUUGCUGUCAAUGGCUUUGCUGGCCUUGGGCUCUGCUCAGGGCAUCGAUGAAGAUGAUGAAUUGUUGAAAGAAAACCCAGAGGAAUCACAAGUGAAACCUGAAGAAGGAUAUGGAGCGGAGUACAGCAAACCUGGCAAAGAUGGUCCAGGUGGCGCUCAGGGACCAGCAGGCCAACAAGUUCAAGGUAGUCAACAGCAUCCAGGAGCCCAAGGUGGUCCAAGAGGCCCACAGCAUCCAGCAGGCCAACAAGGCCCAGGUGGCCAGCAGCGUCCAGGACCCCAAGGUGAUCCAAGUGGUCCACAGCAUCCAGCAGGCCAACAAGGUCCAGAUGGCCAACAGCGUCCAGGAGCCCAAGGUGGUCCAAGUGGUCCACAGCAUGCACCAGGCCAACAGGUACCAGGUGGCCAACAGCAUCCAGGAUCCCAAGGUGAUCCAAGUGGCCCACAGGGUCCAGCAGGCCAACAGGGGCCAAAUGACAAACAGCAUCCAGGAGUCCAAGGUGGUCCAGGUGGCCCACAGCAUCCAGCAGGCCAACAAGGUCCAGAUGGGCAACAGCGUCCAGGAGCCCAAGGUGGUCCAAGUGGCCCACAGCAUCCAGCAGGCCAACAGGGGCCAGGUGGCCAACAUCGUCCAGGAUCCCAAGGUGGUCCAAGUGGCCCACAGGGUCCAGCAGGCCAACAAGGUCCAGGUGGCCAACAGCAUCCAGGAUCUCAAGGUGGUCCAAGUGGCCCACAGGGUCCAGCAGGCCAACAGGGCCCAGGUGGCCAACAGCGUCCAGGAUCCCAAGGUGGUCCAAGUGGCCCACAGGGUCCAGGAGGCCAACAGCGUCCAGGAUCCCAAGGUGGUCCAAGUGGCCCACAGGGCCCAAGUAGCCAACAGGGUGCAGGUGGCCAGCAUGGUGGACAGUGACAAGAAAAACCAAGUAAAGAGGACCUCCUGUGAUUUUCUAGGUAUUAAUUCCAUUCUUAUUCAAUAAUCUUCUGAAUUUCUUUUGAUAUUUCCUAAUUCUCUUUUCUUGUUUCUCUUUUGUCUUAGUUAAAUUUUCACUUCAAUCUCUCUUAAAAUUGUUGUUCAUGCUAUGACUCUCCUUGCCUUAAGCUAACCCUUAAAAUCUCUCCUCCUUUUACAAUCAAGUGUUCUUUCCUUCAAACAAUUUGUUUUAUUUUCAUGCUCAUUCUUAUAUUCGCCUAUAACUUUCCCAUUUCUACCUUCCCUGUUGUCCUCUUCUUCUCUCCUCUCUUCUCUUCCCUUUACUCUCUCCUGGCCUGUUCCUCUGACAUCCUACUUCUCUCCCUUAACAUGAUGCUUGUAGUGUCUUCUAGUACCCACUAGGAGAAACACUGACAUGGAUCAAUUUCAGGCCUAACGAAUAUUUCUGUCUAAAAUUCUUCUCUUUGUUUUAGAAAUUGAGAGCUCAACUGGUGACCAUGGACUUUUCAGUCGUGUCAUCAUGGCCUUUCCUUUCUCUGACUUCAAUUCAUCAAUAAAGUCAUCAGCAUUAAAGUCCUGGCUCUUGUUUUCCUUCUAAGUCAUGGUUCUUGGUUAGAGGACAAGAAGGGCAGGUUGGAAGAUACAGCCCUGAAAGACUCCUAAUGUUGUGUAUUGUGCAGAUUUAUCUAGCUCUGAUUUUAAUAAUUUUGUGGGGACUUCACUCCCACCAAUAUUACAAAGCAGAAACAUUUUAUCCUUGAGACCAGUAAGGGAGUUUGUCAUGUUCAGAUGAGCAAUGUACACAUCCUUUUCUUAGCUUAGACACAGAGAGAAUUACCUCAUGAACUCCUUUGACUUCUGGUAGUCCUUCAAUGUAUGUAAGUUCUAUUAUGAGGUGAGGGUGUGUAGAAAGGAAACACUGUGCAGUGUUUGUGGGAAUGCACACUGGCACAGCCACUAUAAAAAACAGCAUGGUGAUUCUUCAAAGAGUUACAAAUACAACUACAAUGCAAUACAGCACUUGCCUUUCGGGUAUUUAUUGAAAGAAAGUGAAAACACUAUUUUGCAAAUAUAUGCACCCCUAAUGUUAACUGCAUCAUUAUUUAUGAGAGUCCAGCUGUGGAAGCAGCCCUCAUGGCCCUGAAUAGAGGAAUGGGUAAAGAUGUGGUACGCAUACACAAUGGAAUAUUACUCACUCUAAGGAAGAAGGAAAUCCUGCCAUUUGCCACAAUACAAAUGGAUCUAGAGAGUGUAAUGGUCACUGAAAGAAGUCAACCAGAGACAGAUAAAUACCAUAUGAUUUCAUGCAUACAUGAAAUCCAAAAGACAAAACGAAUGAGCCAACAAAACAAAACAGAACUAAUUAUCCUUUGCCUACCAGAAGGCAGGGGAUGGAAGGAUGGUCAAAUAGGAGUGAAAAGCAGAUGUAAGGUGCAAGAAUACAUUUAUAACAUAAAUAAGAUACAGGGAGAAAAGAUAUACAUAAGGAACACAGGACAGCAGUUAAGAAUAUGCAACCAUUUUGUUUGUUGUGCAUGGUAACUCAAUUUUUCUUGGUGAACCUUCACAAUGUAUAGAAAUGCUGAAUCACUAUCUUGUACACUGAAAACUAAUGUAAUAAUGUAGGUCAAGUAUGCUUCCAUCCGGGACCCUAAGAUCAUGACCUGACCCAAAGGCAGACACUUAGCCAACUGAACCACAAAAGCACUCCUAUAAAACUUAUUUUUAAUCCUCCUUUGAAUAAACACUUAACACCAAAAUAAAAUAUGUCCUUCCAAUUUUCAAAAAUUAGCUUCUCCCUCCAUAACUAAACAGGGUUUGUCAUUUAUUAAAUGAGAAAUCAAAAUACCCUUUUAUAAAAAGGCAAAGAACAUUUAUAAUGAUAUUCAAUAAUCCAAAAUUUUCUACUUAAAAGUCUCUUCCUCCUGCCAGAAACCCAAAGUAAUGCCAUUCAUAAGGGGCUGGGAGACCAUUUACUAUGCAAGAAAACUAUGUGCCUGCACACUUUGAGACCCAACCACAAUAUUCUCUCACUUUCUCUCCUUUAUCCACAUCAAACUCUACAGUUACUUCAAUUCCUACACUGUGCAGAUAUUUCCGUGAAUUAUUCUUUUUGUUGGCAGUCUGUCAACAGAACAGAAAGUUGUAAAUGAAGCAACAUUAAUACUGGCCACAGAUUUCAUCUUUCACGUUUAUUGCCUGUAUUAUUACUUUUUUUACAUUAUCAUUACCCACUAACCUGGAUCUCCAAAACAAUAACGAAAGUAAUAAAUACACUGUAAAUCUCUGUUUCAUUCUUUUCUUGAUUCAUGCUACCUUUGGUAAUUCUCCUUCAUAGAUGGAUUAAAUAGAAUGUUUAGUUACUACAUACUGUUGUUACAGCUUGAUGAUGGUAUUGGAUACUAUUAGUUCCCUCAAAAUAUUCAGCACCUAACAUUCUGACUGUACGCCUAUCACUAGAGGUCUGGGGGGGGGGGGUCUUGAUGAAAUCUUGGAAAACACAAAAAUACACAUUUCAGGUAAAGAGGUUUCUACAGACAAGGGAAACUGUGAGCCUGAUAAGGAAUUAUAAAGUAUGUGAAAGAGGAGGGAUAUUGAAGAAUGGAAAAUAGCAAUUUAAAAAUGCCAGUGGGAUAAAGUAUUUCUGAUGGGAAUACACAAGAUUACCUCGGGAAUGAACCACUACUGAUAAUCAUAAUGUGGCCUCUUCCCUCAUGCCCUCCAUCUUAAGGAUAAGUUAAUACGAGGCUGGUAAGUGAUUUACCUGAACACCUAAAGGUACAGCUUGAUCCAGGAGGAGUGCAUAGGGGAAAUUCAUAUCCCUGCACUGUAUGUAUGAUUAUUUCUGCAAUAGUUGCCCCAUCAUACCACUCUCACCUACUCAACCCUACACAUUCCGUGAUGAUGCAUUAAAUGGUUGAGGCAGUUAUUACACUGCAUAAGACACCUAUACCUGAAGAUCUUCCUUCUCAGUCAGUGGAAGGCACAGAAGAGUUUCUGCAAUGAAUUUCUGUUUCUUUCCUUUGUCUCUGUAAACAGUAAAAGGGGCUCAGAUUUUCUGUGAAAACUGGUCAACUUUAUUUUCUAAAGCAAUUAGGCAUAUGAGAAAGAAAAGCUGUGAAUAAUUCCAGACUAAAAAAAGCUAAAGAAACAUGGCAAUCCAAUAUAGUACUUGAAUGGGGGGAUCCCUGGGUGGCGCAGCGGUUUGGCGCCUGCCUUUGGCCCAGGGCGCGAUCCUGGAGACCCGGGAUCGAAUCCCACAUCGGGCUCCCGGUGCAUGGAGCCUGCUUCUCCCUCUGCCUGUGUCUCUGCACCUCUCUCUCUCUCUGUGACUAUCAUAAAUAAAUAAAAAUUUAAAAAAAAAAUUUGAAUGGGUCUGUGUUCUGGAGGAGAAAAAAAAAAUGUUCCCAAAUCAUGGUUGGAUUAAUUAGCAAUUUGGGAAUACAGCCUGUAGAUUACAUGAAAGUAUUAUAUCAAUGUUAAAUAGAUCAAGGUUUUACACGACUCUUGUUUCAUAAGAAAUUAUUACCACUCUUAGGGAAUACACACUGAAAAGUUAGGGCUGAAAGGACACAAUUUAUGUAAUUUACCCUCAAAUCAUCAGACAGAAGGAGAGAACAAUACAGCAAAGAGGCAAAUAUUAAUAGAUGAAUCUGGAUAGAAGACAUGUGGAUUCUUC